UUUUCCCUACGGGACGCAGCAGUGGGGAAUAUUGCACAAUGGGGGAAACCCUGAUGCAGCGACGCCGCGUGAGUGAAGAAGUAUUUCGGUAUGUAAAGCUCUAUCAGCAGGGAAGAUAAUGACGGUACCUGAGUAAGAAGCCCCGGCUAACUACGUGCCAGCAGCCGCGGUAAUACGUAGGGGGCAAGCGUUAUCCGGAUUUACUGGGUGUAAAGGGAGCGUAGGUGUCAUGGUAAGCCAGAAGUGAAAACCCGGGGCU
This 259-nucleotide ribosomal RNA is filed under the name uncultured bacterium. Its description in RNAcentral is "partial 16S ribosomal RNA". It matches the Rfam family "Bacterial small subunit ribosomal RNA", at positions 333 to 609 of the family's 1533-position model. The record is from RNAcentral.